Molecule: ribosomal RNA, 580 nt
Filed under: Nigrospora sp. BAB-3485
Lineage: Eukaryota; Fungi; Ascomycota; Sordariomycetes; Amphisphaeriales; Apiosporaceae
Description: eukaryotic LSU rRNA
Rfam family: 5.8S ribosomal RNA (bases 182-335)
Source: RNAcentral
CGUAGGUGAACCAGCGGAGGGAUCAUUACAGAGUUAUCCAACUCCCAAACCCAUGUGAACAUAUCUCUUUGUUGCCUCGGCGCAAGCUACCCGGGACCUCGCGCCCCGGGCGGCCCGCCGGCGGACAAACCAAACUCUGUUAUCUUCGUUGAUUAUCUGAGUGUCUUAUUUAAUAAGUCAAAACUUUCAACAACGGAUCUCUUGGUUCUGGCAUCGAUGAAGAACGCAGCGAAAUGCGAUAAGUAAUGUGAAUUGCAGAAUUCAGUGAAUCAUCGAAUCUUUGAACGCACAUUGCGCCCAUUAGUAUUCUAGUGGGCAUGCCUGUUCGAGCGUCAUUUCAACCCCUAAGCACAGCUUAUUGUUGGGCGUCUACGUCUGUAGUGCCUCAAAGACAUUGGCGGAGCGGCAGCAGUCCUCUGAGCGUAGUAAUUCUUUAUCUCGCUUCUGUUAGGCGCUGCCCCCCCGGCCGUAAAACCCCCAAUUUUUUCUGGUUGACCUCGGAUCAGGUAGGAAUACCCGCUGAACUUAAGCAUAUCAAUAAGCGGAGGAAAAGAAACCAACAGGGAUUCCCCUAGUAACU